AGGGGAAGAAGCUGGAGCCUGGAGUGGCGGAAGAGAAAGGCGGUGGUGGGGAAUUUGGGGGACGAAGCAGGGUUGGUUGUAGAAGAAAAAGACCAUCGCUGCCAUCCCUAUGGACCUGUCUUCGUGGUUCCGACGCAGCCUUUUAAGCACUGAGAAAAAGACCAAAAACCCAGAUCUCCAAAAACACUUUCCCAACCAGGACCAACCAUCUGAGCAACAAAAAGAAGAAGAAGAGCUACUCGGACUCACUGACAAAUUCAUCGAUUUCCUCAAGACCUUUACUCUAGAAACCUUCAAGAAGUUCCCCCUGCCCGCUGCUGAGGAAGGUACACAUGGUGAUGAUUUACCAACGACUUCAGGCAGUGUGCGGAAGGAUCUCACUGAAUGGCAAGAGCGACAUGCGAAGGCUGUGCUCUUGAGAGUGAAGGAAAUUUCACAACUCAGGUAUAAGCUAUGUCCAGGCUACUUGAAGGAACAUCAAUUUUGGAGAAUAUAUUUUUCACUAGUGAAAAGCCAUGUGACUGACGCUCCUAUGUCAUCAUGUAUAAGCCAUUACACAUACCCCUUUCUACUGCUGCCUCUACUAUCAUCAGCACUUCAGUCGUCGCAUUCCACAGCCUUCUGCCACGAACACCUCUAGUACAAGUAUCUGCAGUGACAUUAAGCAACAACUGCACCGUUAUGUUACCACCAUGGCCGACUUUGCCAACAGCCUCAUGAUACCCACUGCUAUAUAUGAGCUCCAUGCUAUUCGACUAGCAAAGCUCAAAGAGAUGGCAUCAGGGCACGGAAAAUCAACAGAUACCGAUGCAUGUGAAGUUGAGAUGGCCGAGACAAACCGUCCAGCAAAUUUGCUGCCUCCUACAUCAUAGCACCAUUGAAAUCUGCAUUUUUUUUUUUUUUUUUUCAGCGGCAGAAGCAGGGAGCGUGGGCUGUGUGGCGGUAAUAUAUAUUA
This is an RNA transcript of Ziziphus jujuba (common jujube), 955 nucleotides long. RefSeq lists it as uncharacterized. NCBI's taxonomy places the organism in Eukaryota, Viridiplantae, Streptophyta, Magnoliopsida, Rosales, Rhamnaceae. The record is from RefSeq and is a predicted model, not a curated record. The transcript has 5 exons.